This 373-nucleotide ribosomal RNA is filed under the name uncultured organism. RNAcentral describes it as "partial 16S ribosomal RNA". It matches the Rfam family "Bacterial small subunit ribosomal RNA", at positions 527 to 896 of the family's 1533-position model. The record is from RNAcentral.
GUAGGUGGCAAGCGUUGUCCGGAAUUAUUGGGCGUAAAGCGCGCGCAGGCGGUUCUUUAAGUCUGAUGUGAAAGCCCACGGCUCAACCGUGGAGGGUCAUUGGAAACUGGAGAACUUGAGUACAGAAGGGGAAAGCGGAAUUCCACGUGUAGCGGUGAAAUGCGUAGAGAUGUGGAGGAACACCAGUGGCGAAGGCGGCUUUCUGGUCUGUAACUGACGCUGAGGCGCGAAAGCGUGGGGAGCAAACAGGGAUUAGAUACCCUGGUAGUCCACGCCGUAAACGAUGAGUGCUAAGUGUUAGGGGGUUUCCGCCCCCUUAGUGCUGCAGCUAACGCAUCAAGCACUCCGGCCUGGGAGUACGGCCGCAAGGCUG